AAUAAAAUAAAAAAAAUAAUUUUGGUGUCUUUGAAAGAAAAACUUUGCUCCCUCUACCAUCAACCAUCAAUUCUAACAUAGAUUUAUUUCUAUUUAUUUCCUUCUAAAAAAAAACUUGCUAUCUAAAGGGUUAAGAAAAUGUGGGGAAAUAUCAGUUAAAUUGUAUAAACAAUUUGGUUGCUCUUGCUCAGUUGACAGAAAUACUGUUUUAUAUACACUUUGCUUGCU
This is a non-coding RNA of Pelobates cultripes (western spadefoot toad), 228 nucleotides long. Lineage: Eukaryota; Metazoa; Chordata; Amphibia; Anura; Pelobatidae. The record is from the annotation of a GenBank genome assembly.